This 253-nucleotide ribosomal RNA is filed under the name uncultured bacterium. RNAcentral describes it as "partial 16S ribosomal RNA". It matches the Rfam family "Bacterial small subunit ribosomal RNA", at positions 524 to 776 of the family's 1533-position model. The record is from RNAcentral.
UACAGAGGUCUCAAGCGUUGUUCGGAUUCAUUGGGCGUAAAGGGUGCGUAGGCGGCGCGGUAAGUCGGGUGUGAAAUCUCGGAGCUUAACUCCGAAACUGCAUUCGAUACUGGCGUGCUUGAGGACUGGAGAGGAGACUGGAAUUCAUGGUGUAGCAGUGAAAUGCGUAGAGAUCAUGAGGAAGACCAGUGGCGAAGGCGGGUCUCUGGACAGUUCCUGACACUGAGGAGCGAAAGCAUGGGGAGCGAACAGG